Molecule: long non-coding RNA, 509 nt
Filed under: Crocodylus porosus (Australian saltwater crocodile)
Lineage: Eukaryota; Metazoa; Chordata; Crocodylia; Crocodylidae
Description: lncRNA (ENSCPRG00005018879.1)
Source: RNAcentral
GGUGAAGGUGAAUUGUUACUGAGCCCUGGAUAUCCCUGUAAUCUGCCCCCCAGAGUAAAAUGUACGGGCAGUAGCAAAAAUGGUGACUCAGCCUCGAGGAACCUCUGUCUUUGAGCAGACUCACACAGCAAUGAAAGAACUAGAUGCGUCUGUAAAAUUUGUGACAAAUCUUGCUGCAAAGUGGAAAACUUAGAAGACUUUGGAUAACAGCCAAGAAGAGCUGUCUGGUAGGGCUAAUGCCACACAUUUGUCAGGAGAAAAUGCUGAGUUAUUGGAAGACUGGCAUAGUUCCUGGAACAACUGACAGCAGGAUAAAGAAGAUUUCAGUUACAGAAACCAAAAAUGGUCUUGCCUGCUUCUUGCCUGUGACCAAACUGAUCAGGAUCAGCUCAUACCUGGGCUGAAGACCAUCCUAGAAGUUACGGUGUUCCUUCUAAUUUUUACCUAUCAAUAUGACAACUGUGUCAGCAUGUUUGACCUCUGAAUAAAGCAUACUAUUAAUUUUUGCA